CAGCAAAUUAAUUGAGCUAUAGAUCCGAUCAAAUCAGGAUCAUUUCUUCCUUACCAAUUAGGUCAUCUCAUAACCAAUCAGACUUGAUCUGAUUGAAUCCAAUUCAAUCAGACUUGAUUCAGACUUUAAUGCUUAAUCAAAUUGAGUUAAUUAGUGAUCUAAUCACUAAUUAAUCCUUCAUUAAUGAUAGAGUCUCAGUUCAGUGGGACUCUUCACCAGAGUCUCCAUCUAGUGAGACUCUUCACCAGAGUCCCAGUCUAGUGAGACUCUUCAGAUUAACCAUCUGAUCGGAG
Molecule: long non-coding RNA, 293 nt
Filed under: Elaeis guineensis (African oil palm)
Lineage: Eukaryota; Viridiplantae; Streptophyta; Magnoliopsida; Arecales; Arecaceae
Description: long non-coding RNA (EGUI_LNC082917)
Source: RNAcentral